This is a long non-coding RNA of Corvus hawaiiensis (hawaiian crow), 2685 nucleotides long. RefSeq lists it as uncharacterized. The record is from RefSeq and is a predicted model, not a curated record. The transcript is spliced from 3 exons. NCBI's taxonomy places the organism in Eukaryota, Metazoa, Chordata, Aves, Passeriformes, Corvidae.
UUCCUAAAGGAGCAAGUUACUUGGAAACUCUCCAUCUAAGAAAUUUGCUCCAGAAGGUCUUGGGUGGAAGUUACAUGUCACCUCACCAUCAAGUCUCGGAUCCCAGGGGAGCACUGAUCAGCAGUUGCUGAGGACAUCAUCUCAAAACCAGUUCCCGUAGAUUUGGAAGUACCCAACUUGGAACAACACACGUUGGAAGAAGGGAAGAGCUUUACAGCAAGUGGACCAGUGCCUAACUUUGCAUGGGACUGAGCUCCUUAAAGGUCUGAUGGCAAGAGUGCCAGCCAUUCCCCACAACCACUGACUUCAACUCCAUCACGCUUGGACACUGUAUCCAUGAUCCUCUUUUACUCUCCCUGACAAUGGCAGACAACAGAAAGCAGCAGAGAUGUGAAGGAAUCUGGCUGUCUUCUCAUCUGAGGGCAGCUUUGGUCAUCAGGCCAAAUCCAACAAAAUGGCUGGCAUGGAGUGCUGAUAAAUCCCUUUGUGAGCAGAAAGACUGAGGGGGUAGCAUCUAGACAGGAGAACAAUGAGCAGCUCUGCGCCGUCCCUCUGCCACCCCCGGCAAGGCACCCCCUCCAAGAGCCACUCAACCCAUUUUAAAUGUAUUGCCUGUCAAAUUCCUUCAACAGCAAGGAAGCACUGUGAAAGGCACUCACCGCGUCUCCCACAACUCCCUUGAACUCCUGGGAUUUGACUUCCUAACUGUGUCUGUAUGCUGGGUUAGUCUUGCUGCUAUGGCAAGGAGGAAAUGCAAAGUAGCCAUGGCUACAGAGACACUGGAGAGAAACAGCAGGCAGCAAAUCGUGCUUGGCUGUGCAGUCCAUGUGUGCUUGGCCUCCACUUUGCACUGGACUCUGUCACAGCCUCAAAAGGCAAUGGUGUCCCUACAUAACUCUGGCCUGUUGUGCCACACUGUCUCUUGGGACAGACAGUGGUCGGUGAGGAUGGGGGAUGCUGUCUGUGUGGUAGCAAGUGACAGUCUGAGUGAAGCUGAGGGACAUUUCCAUUACCACACACAGAUACAGGUGAUAUUCCAGGACCUCUCUGCACUGCAACUGUGGGACAGUUAGGGAAUGCAAAACCUUUAGCUUAAGGAAGAGUUUAAAACUGCUCUGUAACAUUUUUCUUGGCUAUUUAGGACUUUGUGUGAUCUCAUUGUAGUUGGGUCUGGCACGCUGCAGCCUUAGGUCUGCGUAUCUUCCUUCAGCAAUAACCAGAGGGGAGGUGACAGUACCUGCCAUGUCAUUCUUAGGGCUACCUGCAAUUUUCAUCUUUGUUUAGUAGCCUGGGGUUGAUCAAAAAGGAAGCCUGAAGGAAGCUUACAGACCCAAGCCACCAAAUGUGAGGACCUUUCAGUGCAGGCUGGCUUGCAUGUAAGUGUUAGUUUGCCCAGGUGCUGGUGAACAGACCAUAACCUUCUUCCUUAGUGUGAGCCCAGUGGAUCUGUGCUUGCUCUGGGCAGGCUCUAGCAGGAGCAGUGUUCCCCUCUAGAUGUGUUGGCACAAGGUUUGAAUGUCCCUUUCUCCCUUCCCUUUGCAGACCCAUUUUCAUGAUGGCUCAUGUGCCACAAACAGGAUAGCUGUGAGACAGGAGUUGGGACAGAGGUCUGGAAAGGCUGUUAAAGGCACCUUGUGUAGCUGUUUCCUUUCCAUAAGUACAUCCAUCUUCAGAAUAGCUGGGAUGAGCUUGCCAGCUAUCACCUUCCUCUGCUUUCUCCUGUCCAGAGCAUGAGGAAAAAUUGAAGUACCCCAAAGUGCAUGGGCUGGCUUUGGUUCAUCAAGUCGUAUAAAAAAUUCCCUGAAGCUCAGUGUCAGGGGUGCCGGAAAACUGCACCCUGGGUAGAGAUAAUUUCCAUACAGAAAAAAGCCAUCCAGCCACAGAGCAGUAAAGAACUGUCUGAGCUCCUCACCACUUUUGAUGAUCCUAAAGAGGCUUGGCCAGGUUCACUGGGAAACACAUCGGGGCAUGUUUGGCAGGCCAAGGCACAGAGGGAUACUAACCUGGGCAGCCAAGGCUUUUUGCUUCUUCAUAGUGGCUGUUCAGGAAGUCCUAGCACCUCUGACUAGGUGCUAAUGGGACACUGAAGGUGUUUGUAGCAAUGUCAAUGCUGGCUUGCCAAGCAUCUUGAAGCAUGAGUCACCUCUUCCUGAAUCAUGAGACUGGCCUACAAGUUAUUAAUAUUUAUUUUCUGCCUGAAAAUAGGAAUGACCUGCAUUUAGUUCCAAACCUUUGGAUCUGUAGGAUUAAUUCCAAUGAUGCUUACAGAAUUUUCUCUGCAUUCAUGAAAACUUUGUUUUGUUGUCUUUGUGUUGCUUUCCCUGCCUUAAAAUAAAAACAAAACUGAGAAGUUUUUUCUUCUCAUCACACAGAUCCAAAUCCUGAAGGACUCAUCAGCUGUUAGGAGAUUCACUGUAAAACCACAAGGAUUUGCAGUGGUUAUUGAGCAGCCAUAUGCUCAGCUCAGUGCAGUGCCCUUUUGCGCUUCUGACCAAGCUGCCUAUCUGCCCACUUUAAAGCUCUCCCUGCUGGCAAGAGUUUACAUUAGCUCAGCUACAGAGAGGACAUCAGAUUUAUUCCCUAGCUGCCCUUUUCAGUAUUCACAAAUAAAAUUUGUCCAGCAUGAUAGAUGCAGUUGCUAGUGGUGUCUAAAAAACUCACAACUGAGGCUGCAAUAAGCCAAGA